ACUGUUUCUUGUAAUCAGUAACAAGGAUUCAUCCUUGUGUAUAGUAAAUAACAGGGAGAAUCUUUGUCACUAAGUACAAUUAACAGCUAU
This is a microRNA precursor of Chrysemys picta bellii (western painted turtle), 90 nucleotides long. NCBI's taxonomy places the organism in Eukaryota, Metazoa, Chordata, Testudines, Emydidae. The record is from Ensembl.